AUUGAACGCUGGCGGCAUGCUUUACACAUGCAAGUCGAACGGUAACAGGGUGCUUGCACCGCUGACGAGUGGCGAACGGGUGAGUAAUGCAUCGGAAUGUACCGUGUAAUGGGGGAUAGCUCGGCGAAAGCCGGAUUAAUACCGCAUACGCCCUGAGGGGGAAAGUGGGAGACCGAAAGGCCUCACGUUAUACGAGCAGCCGAUGUCUGAUUAGCUAGUUGGUGAGGUAAAGGCUCACCAAGGCGUCGAUCAGUAGCGGGUCUGAGAGGAUGAUCCGCCACACUGGGACUGAGACACGGCCCAGACUCCUACGGGAGGCAGCAGUGGGGAAUUUUGGACAAUGGGCGCAAGCCUGAUCCAGCCAUGCCGCGUGUCUGAAGAAGGCCUUCGGGUUGUAAAGGACUUUUGUCCGGGAGCAAAUCCUAGUGGUUAAUACCUACUGGGGCUGAGAGUACCGGAAGAAUAAGCACCGGCUAACUACGUG
RNAcentral lists this ribosomal RNA (484 nucleotides) under uncultured bacterium. Its description in RNAcentral is "partial 16S ribosomal RNA". It matches the Rfam family "Bacterial small subunit ribosomal RNA", at positions 30 to 507 of the family's 1533-position model. The record is from RNAcentral.